CUCGGCGGUACGUAGCGCGGUGGUCCCACCUGACCCCAUGCCGAACUCAGAAGUGAAACGCCGUAGCGCCGAUGGUAGUGUGGGGUCUCCCCAUGCGAGAGUAGGGAACUGCCAGGC
This 117-nucleotide ribosomal RNA is filed under the name Escherichia coli. Lineage: Bacteria; Pseudomonadati; Pseudomonadota; Gammaproteobacteria; Enterobacterales; Enterobacteriaceae. The record is from RNAcentral.